AUACAACUCUCACCCUCAGCCACACCCCGGCCCCUCUGCGAUGGAGUUAGGUGCCGGCUAACUGGUUUCUGCAGAGCACACGUCUGGACUCCAGU
Molecule: non-coding RNA, 95 nt
Organism: Vicugna pacos (alpaca)
Lineage: Eukaryota; Metazoa; Chordata; Mammalia; Artiodactyla; Camelidae
Source: RefSeq, a predicted model, not a curated record